RNAcentral lists this long non-coding RNA (1002 nucleotides) under Anas platyrhynchos platyrhynchos (common mallard). Its description in RNAcentral is "lncRNA (ENSAPLG00000027857.1)". The record is from RNAcentral. Lineage: Eukaryota; Metazoa; Chordata; Aves; Anseriformes; Anatidae.
AUGCCUGCCCCCUUCCACCCUCUUCUACCCCCUCCCCCCGAAUGGUACAGGGGAAUGGGGAAUGGAGGCUGCAGUCAGCGGUCAGCCCCUGUCAUGUCAUUUCCACCACUCCCUCAAGGUCACUCUCUGCCCCUGCUUCACGUGGGGUCCCUCCCACGGGAUGCCGUCCUUCCCCAACUGAGCCUGCGGGGGCUGCCCACAGGCAACAGCUCUUCAAGACCUGCUCCCACACGGCUCCGUACCACGGGGUCCAUCCAUCCAUCCCCCAGGAGCAAACUGCUCCAGCACGGGUCCCCCACGGGUGGGCGGCAGCUCCCCCCAGACCCCUGCUCCUGCGUGGGCUCCUCUCCACGGGCUGUAGCUCCGGCCCGGGGCCUGCUCCUGCGGGGGCUCUCCAUGGGCCGCAGCCUCCUCCAGGCCACAUCCACCUGCUCCAGUGGGGGCUCCUCCACCCAUGGGGGGGCUGCAGUGUGGAGAUCUGCUCCAUGUGGGACCCAUGGGCUGCAGGGGGACAGCCUGCUCCACCAGGGGCUUCUCCACAGCUCGCAGGAGAACUGCUGCUGGAACUGUGGCUGGAGCACCUCCUGCCCUCCUGCUGCACUGACCUGGGGGUCUGCCAGUCUGUUUCUUACUCUCUCCCAGCUGCUGUUGCACAGUAGCUUCCCUCCCUCCCUCCCUCCCUCCCUUCCUUCCUCCCUGCCUUCCUUCCUUCGAGGCCCCACCAGCAUCACUCCAUGGCCUGGCUCUGACCGGCACCAGGUCUCGUUGGAGUCAUCUGGAGCUGGCUCUGGUCUGAUAUGGGGCAGCUGCUGGUCUCUGCUCACAGUGGCCACCCCUGCAGCCUCCCUGCUACCAAAAUCUUGCCACAUAAACCCAGUACAGCAACUAAGAUUAACAGUAAAGAUUAGCUUAUGUGAGUGCUGCAGACUUUGUGAAGAGUAUUCAUCCAUUUAUGGCAGGAGCUGGGACUGCACAGCCAGCAUGGGUGUUGCCCUCGGCUGA